RNAcentral lists this ribosomal RNA (726 nucleotides) under uncultured cyanobacterium. Its description in RNAcentral is "bacterial SSU rRNA". It matches the Rfam family "Bacterial small subunit ribosomal RNA", at positions 8 to 783 of the family's 1533-position model. Lineage: Bacteria; Bacillati; Cyanobacteriota. The record is from RNAcentral.
AGAGUUUGAUCAUGGCUCAGGAUGAACGCUGGCGGCGUGCUUAACACAUGCAAGUCGAACGAACCUUCGGGUUAGUGGCGGACGGGUGAGUAACGCGUGGGAAUCUGCCCUCAGGAGGGGGAUAACGGCUGGAAACGGCCGCUAAUACCCCAUAUGCCGAGAGGUGAAAUGAAUUUCGCCUGAGGAUGAGCCCGCGUCUGAUUAGCUAGUUGGUGAGGUAAGAGCUCACCAAGGCAUCGAUCAGUAGCUGGUCUGAGAGGAUGAUCAGCCACACUGGGACUGAGACACGGCCCAGACUCCUACGGGAGGCAGCAGUGGGGAAUUUUCCGCAAUGGGCGAAAGCCUGACGGAGCAACGCCGCGUGAGGGAUGAAGGCCUCUGGGCUGUAAACCUCUUUUCUCAAGGAAGAAGAUCUGACGGUACUUGAGGAAUAAGCCACGGCUAAUUCCGUGCCAGCAGCCGCGGUAAUACGGGAGUGGCAAGCGUUAUCCGGAAUUAUUGGGCGUAAAGCGUCCGCAGGCGGCCCUUCAAGUCUGCUGUUAAAAAGUGGAGCUUAACUCCAUCAUGGCAGUGGAAACUGUUGGGCUUGAGUGUGGUAGGGGCAGAGGGAAUUCCCGGUGUAGAGGUGAAAUGCGUAGAUAUCGGGAAGAACCCAGUGGCGAAAGCGCUCUGCUGGGCCAUAACUGACGCUCAUGGACGAAAGCCAGGGGAGCGAAGGGAUUAGAU